AGUAACACGUAGGUUAUNUCGCCCGGGGUGAGGGACAACUGAGGGAAACUUCAGCUAAUACCACAUAUGGCCUACGGGUCAAAGGCUUCGGCCCGCCCGUGGGAUGAGCCUGCGUCCCAUUAUUUAAUCCUAGUUGGUGGGGUAAUGGCCUACCAAGGGUACGAUGGGUAGCUGGUUUGAGAGAAUGAUCAGCCACACUGGAACUGAGACACGGUCCAGACUCCUACGGGAGGCAGCAGUGGGGAAUAUUGCGCAAUGGGCGAAAGCCUGACGCAGCCACGCCGCGUGAGUGAUGAAGGCCCGAGGGUCGUAAAGCUCUGUCGGGAGGGAAGAACAAAAUGACGGUACCUCCCAAGAAAGCACCGGCUAACUCCGUG
RNAcentral lists this ribosomal RNA (377 nucleotides) under uncultured bacterium. Its description in RNAcentral is "bacterial SSU rRNA". It matches the Rfam family "Bacterial small subunit ribosomal RNA", at positions 109 to 507 of the family's 1533-position model. The record is from RNAcentral.